GACGAACGCUGGCGGCGUGCUUAACACAUGCAAGUCGAACGGAAAGGCCCUGCUUUUGUGGGGUGCUCGAGUGGCGAACGGGUGAGUAACACGUGAGUAACCUGCCCUUGACUUUGGGAUAACUUCAGGAAACUGGGGCUAAUACCGGAUAGGAGCUCCUGCUGCAUGGUGGGGGUUGGAAAGUUUCGGCGGUUGGGGAUGGACUCGCGGCUUAUCAGCUUGUUGGUGGGGUAGUGGCUUGCCAAGGCUUUGACGGGUAGCCGGCCUGAGAGGGUGACCGGCCACAUUGGGACUGAGAUACGGCCCAGACUCCUACGGGAGGCAGCAGUGGGGAAUAUUGCACAAUGGGCGGAAGCCUGAUGCAGCAACGCCGCGUGCGGGAUGACGGCCUUCGGGUCGUAAACCGCUUUCGCCUGUGACGAAGCGUGAGUGACGGUAAUGGGUAAAGAAGCACCGGCUAACUACGUG
Molecule: ribosomal RNA, 468 nt
Filed under: uncultured bacterium
Lineage: Bacteria
Description: partial 16S ribosomal RNA
Rfam family: Bacterial small subunit ribosomal RNA
Source: RNAcentral